RNAcentral lists this long non-coding RNA (2138 nucleotides) under Callithrix jacchus (white-tufted-ear marmoset). RNAcentral's name for it is "lncRNA (ENSCJAG00000081462.1)". Lineage: Eukaryota; Metazoa; Chordata; Mammalia; Primates; Cebidae. The record is from RNAcentral.
AUUGGAAAUCCAGAGGUAGCUUGAUUGUCAUUUUGAGAUCCUUCACAAGUAACCUUGCAGAGCCUCAAAAGACUGAUGGGCACAGCUCUUUUGCUGGAUAUCCUUUCAGCAAUACUUGUAAAAGUAGUAAGGCUCCAGUAUUAAGACAUUACCAGAGAUUAAAACAUGGAAAUCUGACAAGUUUUAACAGCAAUCGAAGUGUGUGGUUUGGAGAAAAAGCAGUGGAGUCUGGAGUCUACAGGUCCCGUCGAGCACAUGUGGAGAGGAUGUGCUUCCUUUAGGAAGGCAGGAGAGGCUUAAGAGAGUACCUUCACUUUAAAAAAGCCUGGCAAAAUUAAAGUGACAAAUCCUGGAGAAAAUCUCAGAGCACGCAUCACAACCAGUCCCGCCAUUAGUCAACUUAGACAAACUGAAAGUAAACGGAGCCUUGUCCGAGUCUAUCCGCGACCCUGGGCCCCUCCAAGCAGCGGGAGCACCGGGAGGACCCCUCAGGGCCGGCACCAAGGGAACCAGGACCGAGUCCCGGCGUCUGCCGGGGCUUUGCAUGGCAGAAGGUUUUCAGGCUUCCGUCCCAGAUUUUCAGGAGACCGGCAUCCAUUUAGGAGACUCUGUCUCCACCAGCUUCUAAAUUCUGAAUGGGAAUAAGCCCAAUCGGCUCCCCACCCCCCAGUCCGCCAGGGUGUGGCGCCAGAGCCACUAGCCCGGCGGGGGCGCCCUACCCUCGGCACCGCCGUCCCGCCUCCCGCCGCAGCCCGAGGGGCGGGCCUCCGAACCACCCGGCUGUGCCACUUGGGAGCUGGCCCGGUCCGCAGAACAAAGUGGCGGCGGCGGGGCCGGAAGCUGAAGCGUGCUGCGAGCCAGCGGCCAGCGCACCGCCGGGAAGCGACGCCCACCUGUUUGCUCAGAUAUUUCCAGGCCGUGACACUUGGACCCUGAAUGGUGACCAGCCUCCUCACCUGAGGCAAGGCCGAGCCCCGGGGCACACAUCCUCCGGUAGACUUAGUGGCCCGACGGUCAGCGGCCCAGGCCGCCAGCUGCGCGCGGAUCUCCGAACACAAGGCGUGCUCGCCUGGCGGUGGUGCCUAAGCUGGGGUUGCUGCAGGUUCCCGAGGCCCGCUCAGGGAAAGGGCAUCCGAGCCUCUCCACCCAGCGACUCGGGGACCUUUAGGAGGGACCGACAAAGCCGGCGUCUCAAGCUUUUCACAAGGCCAAAGAUGAGGAGUGGCUGCAGUUUAGAAAGUGAAUCCCAAAACUCUGCUACAGAUGGACGCACACUUUUCCUACAUAGCUCCCAAAUCUGGUUUUGCUCCCAGAUACUCUGAUUUCUUUGUCGUGUUGACCCACUCAGGCAUCGGGACAUCACAACCCUCCAGCUGAUUCUAAUAUGCAGGCAAGUUUGAAAGCCACUGCCCUAAGACAUCCAUUACCCCCAGGAAAGGUUUUUUUUUUUUGGAGAAGGAGCAGGGACCUGCUCCCAUUUAGCUCUUGGCAAUUGUGCCAGCUUUGGAUCUAGCUCCCUAGUCAUUGAAAAGUAGAAUCCUUCACCUUACAGGUGUUUUGUUUUGUUUUUCAAAGUGACACAGCACAACAUUGACUCUCCAGUGGCAUCAGCCAUACAGGAAUUAUGAAAGACGAAGCCAGAUCCCCCAGGCCUUCAAUUAGUGCAAAUGAUAACUUAGCAUUGAGAAUUCUGCCUGCCAUGUACAAGCUCUUUCAGCCACCCUGACUCAGGAUAUUCCAUUAGGAACCAAAGUAAUCUCUCAGGGCUAGUGAUUGCAGACUUUUCCAGCUCGUGUAAAGGAAACUGAGAGUCUCAGAUUCAGGCUGGAUCACACGGACUUGCAUCCAGAUUCCCCCAAGCAUCCAGACUCCCCCAAAAUGGAUUUGCUAAGUCAAGACUUGCUACAGAAGAAGCCUUGCUGGUGUCUAGAAUGUCCAGGAGUGGCGCUGGGGAACGGGGCUGGGGGGGCAAGGGCAGUAUUGGAUGUCCAGGAUCGCUCAUGUACAAACUGAAAACCUGGUUAUAUUAAGUGGUGAAUUACUGAUACCAAAACUAGCAAAAUAGCCCCUUUUCAGCGGACAUGGAGGGGAGGAUAAUUCUCUUGACCUUUCCUAAAAGCAACCCCAGAGGCAGAGGC